RNAcentral lists this long non-coding RNA (759 nucleotides) under Equus asinus (donkey). RNAcentral's name for it is "lncRNA (ENSEASG00005032407.1)". Lineage: Eukaryota; Metazoa; Chordata; Mammalia; Perissodactyla; Equidae. The record is from RNAcentral.
AAAGACCUUGCUACUUAUAAUUCAGAAUAGUUGGAACUUUCCAUAAUAAAGAUUUUAGAGUUCAAAAUGAGCAAGAGUUAGGUAAGCGGUUCAUCUCAGCGAAGUUUAUUUCUGCCUGAAUGUGCCAUGUGUUUCAGAGAAGUUAAGAAAUUGGCUGAAAUCAGUCCCAACGCUACAACAUUCUGGAAAUUGCUUUUCUUUUGAAGAAUGGAGCCUACGAACUUGGAGGACACCUGCAGCGUCUGAGACUCUGCAUCCAACUUUUCCAUGUGCUUUUUUUCAAUUCCCCCACUGUGCACCAACCACAGGCAACACCAUUGCACUGGAUAAUGACGGCUCCGACCCUCAGAAUCUUUCACAAUCUGAGUUGAUCAUAAUUUUACCAUACCAUGAAGCAUGAAGUAAAAUGCCUGUGAGAAGUUUCAUGCGCAAUCUGGAAUGAGAACUGCUACACAGAAUUUCAUAAUUCAAAAAAUUACAAGUGGUGAUAACGGCUUGCAUGUUGCGGCACCUGAAGAUUUCAAAUCUCUACUCACAGGUUGUCAAGCCUAGUACUGGGAAGUGAGAGUGGAUUUCUUCUUCCCUUUCAUGCUUCCCCGAACAACAGGACCCUCAGAGAGUACUGCCCAGGAGCCACGACAGUGAAUCCAAUGGUGGACAGUGACAAGAAGGAUCAAGAGAGAAUCUUCUCACGGCCCAUUCCUUAACAGGGAAUGUCCCAUGUCAGCUGGAUAGUCCUGGGGACCACUGGUGAUAAAG